RNAcentral lists this long non-coding RNA (287 nucleotides) under Elaeis guineensis (African oil palm). Its description in RNAcentral is "long non-coding RNA (EGUI_LNC053913)". Lineage: Eukaryota; Viridiplantae; Streptophyta; Magnoliopsida; Arecales; Arecaceae. The record is from RNAcentral.
AGCUCCUAAACUGGAGUGGUCAAUCCCAUCUUGACACACGCACCGAUAAGUCAAGUACUUGACUACACCCAGCAGCCUUCCAUCACUGAAUUAAAAAUUCAGGUAGUCCAGUGCCUAAGUGCAGUGAGUUGCUUGCAAGUCACCAUGGUGGUCUCAGGUCGGAGGGAUAUUUAUACCCAUAUUCCAUCGGAGCAAAUCUUGACAGCAGAAAUAGCUCCAAAGUCAGUCACGUUCAGUGCAGAUGUACCCUUACAUCUCACCUGUAUGCCAUACCAGUGUCUCCACAC